CCCACUGAGGGCAGGAGCUUCCCAGGUGGCGAGGCGGCCGUCUUUUGCACCCGACGUGGAUUCACAUCCCCAGAUGUCCGAGAGAUAAGUCGAGGGCUACACCCCACAGAGGGGAUGAAAGCAGGGUGCUGGGUCGGGACUCAUCAGGAGGGGUUUUUGAAUAAGCUUUGGAGUCGGGGAUGUCUGAGAAAGAGCCCCUUAGGCCACGUAAAGGGGAAGUCUCACUUUUGAUCACAACGCUGAGGUGCGCAGGGCAGAGCAGUCCCAGUGCGUGUCGUGUCACUUGUCUAUUGUGUGUUCUGUGUCUUUUGAGCAUCUUGUGUUGCAUGUCUUUUGCCUUACCCCUUUGAGGGGAUUAUCCAAAAUGCCAGGCAUCAUCCUUAGCAUCUCCAAUUCCACAUUCCUCGGCCCAGUGCCGAUACCGUCGAACCUUUGACUCGCGAGCUCGGCCGCCCAUCGGAAUCGCAUCUCUCUUUAGAAGCGUUGAGUCAGACGUCUUUUAUGGUCUUGUUCUGAGCUGUAUCAGCAGCUGUGCACCACAGUGAUCCAUUAUGGUGGAUUAGGACUUGUAAGGAUGUGGAGAUAGAUAGAGGAUGCUGAUGGUACAGUUCUCAGGCAUCCAUCUUUGUGGUUUUGCCAGGUGGCUCCUGGAAUGAAUCCUUCUGUUGGCGUCUUCUUCUGCCCGGGUUCUUCGAGCCUCAUUGGCUCACUGUCGGUCUUGCCUAGGUCAUCUCCUUCUGCCUUCUCUCGGUCCCUGUGGUCAUUCUUCUUGCUGAGAGUUUUCUCUCCUUGUUGCAUCCCGUCAUUUGUCAUCUCCUGCAUGACAGGCCUCUGUGUGUGCUUGGCCUGGAGCUGCUCUGCCCUGCUGCAUAGUCUGGGGUGUGGGUGUAAUGGGACUAAGACUGUACUGUCAAUUGGCUUGGCUGGUCGAGCCCAUGGUUUUGCAGUCAUCCCACACCUCCAGGUCGAAGGCCUCAUGCGUGCAAUCUGCAGGAGAGUUGUGUCCUGGGGACUUGAAAUUUGUAAUGUAGGGUGUAGUUGGACUCUAGAUGGUAUUCCUAGAUUGAUGCAGGAUGGCUGGAACUGUUAAGUUACCAUGCAGCACCUUGACUUGUGUAAUAACUUUCUUUCAGAGGCAGAUGGAUUAAAUCCCUGGCAGAGUGCCCCAUACCAGGUGAGGGGGUUCCCAUGGGAAGGAAGUAAUGCUGGAUAUUGGCAGUCAAGGUUGAUGGAGUGAGGUGGUCCACUUGCAGGAUGUCCUGGCCCUGGAUGCUGGAGGGUGCAAGCCUAAGGUGCUGCUGCUGCCCUGGGCGUGCCAAGGGCCAGAGGCGAGCAGGUUUGUCCUGGCCACCUCCAGAGUCAGAUCAAGAUUUGAGGUACCGUGAGCAGGUGUGGAGCUGAAGUUUGGAGAGAGCAGGUCCCCAAGGCCGAUUCCGAUCCCUGCAGUCACUGAUGCUACCGCUUUUCCCACAAUCUGCCCUUCCAGGUCAUGGAGCAGCAGUUGGAAGAUGUGUUGAUGUGUCUUUGUCAGUGGAGUGUUGUGACAGCACAGUGCAGCAACCCUGGAACCCUCAGUGCAGCACAGCUCAGUAAGCCUGGUGCUGGGAUAACCCUGGAACCCUCAGAGGAGGACAAGGCCCACACCAAAAAGGUAGGGAUGACAGCUGCAGGCUGGAGAGUGACAGGUACGGGUUGGGGGCUGGGGCGUGUAGAGCAGGAGU
Long non-coding RNA from Corvus hawaiiensis (hawaiian crow), 1721 nucleotides. RefSeq lists it as uncharacterized. NCBI's taxonomy places the organism in Eukaryota, Metazoa, Chordata, Aves, Passeriformes, Corvidae. The transcript is spliced from 8 exons. The record is from RefSeq and is a predicted model, not a curated record.